This 253-nucleotide ribosomal RNA is filed under the name uncultured bacterium. RNAcentral's name for it is "partial 16S ribosomal RNA". It matches the Rfam family "Bacterial small subunit ribosomal RNA", at positions 524 to 776 of the family's 1533-position model. The record is from RNAcentral.
UACAGGGGGGGCAAGCGUUGUUCGGAAUUACUGGGCGUAAAGGGCUCGUAGGUGGCCAACUAAGUCAGACGUGAAAUCCCUCGGCUUAACCGGGGAACUGCGUCUGAUACUGGAUGGCUAGAGAUUGGGAGAGGGAUGCGGAAUUCCAGGUGUAGCGGUGAAAUGCGUAGAUAUCUGGAGGAACACCGGUGGCGAAGGCGGCAUCCUGGACCAACACUGACGCUGAGGAGCGAAAGCCAGGGGAGCAAACGGG